UACGUAGGGUGCAAGCGUUGUCCGGAAUUAUUGGGCGUAAAGAGCUCGUAGGCGGUUUGUCGCGUCUGCUGUGAAAACGCGAGGCUCAACCUCGCGCCUGCAGUGGGUACGGGCAGACUAGAGUGCGGUAGGGGAGAUUGGAAUUCCUGGUGUAGCGGUGGAAUGCGCAGAUAUCAGGAGGAACAGCCGGUGGCGAAGGCGGGUCUCUGGGCCGAUACUGACGCUGAGGAGCGAAAGCGUGGGGAGCGAACAGG
Molecule: ribosomal RNA, 254 nt
Filed under: uncultured bacterium
Lineage: Bacteria
Description: partial 16S ribosomal RNA
Rfam family: Bacterial small subunit ribosomal RNA
Source: RNAcentral